GGUGAGUAACACGUGGGCAACCUGCCCCAGAGAGCGGGACAACCCGAGGAAACUCGGGCUAAUACCGCAUGAUGCGUCUCCACUUAAGUGGAGCCGCCAAAUGGUAGCUUCGGCCUCCGCUCUGGGAUGGGCCCGCGUCGGAUUAGCUUGUUGGUUGGGGUAACGGCCCACCAAGGCGACGAUCCGUAGCUGGUCUGAGAGGACGAUCAGCCACACUGGGACUGAGACACGGCCCAGACUCC
Molecule: ribosomal RNA, 242 nt
Filed under: uncultured bacterium
Lineage: Bacteria
Description: partial 16S ribosomal RNA
Rfam family: Bacterial small subunit ribosomal RNA
Source: RNAcentral